This is a long non-coding RNA of Ornithodoros turicata, 290 nucleotides long. RefSeq lists it as uncharacterized. The record is from RefSeq and is a predicted model, not a curated record. NCBI's taxonomy places the organism in Eukaryota, Metazoa, Arthropoda, Arachnida, Ixodida, Argasidae. The transcript is spliced from 2 exons.
UUUCGGAUUAUUGUUGCUAUAAUGGGAGUAUUAUUGUUGAUAUUAAAAUGUAUCUUUUUCAAAUUAUCCAGUGUGGCCGCAGUAUUGUACGUAUUAUUGAGUGCGAAUGUAGUUUCAUAUAAUAAUAAGUUAUCUUUCAGGUCGUUGGUGCGGGGCUCACUAAGUGAACAAUUGGUCGUGAAGGUUUUUCGGCUUGGUUUUUCUCCUUCACCUGACUGGCAUCAUAAUUGGCAUUACAACUGGCACACGUCCCAACACUAUUGGCUUUAAUAAAUAUAUUUCAACUUGUA